This is a non-coding RNA of Paramuricea clavata, 570 nucleotides long. NCBI's taxonomy places the organism in Eukaryota, Metazoa, Cnidaria, Anthozoa, Malacalcyonacea, Plexauridae. The record is from the annotation of a GenBank genome assembly.
UUUCAAGUAGUAUAAAAUAUUGCUAUGUUGAACCUGGCCCGAAGAGAUCCAGCUAAUCAUUCUGUGUUGAUUUCAUAUUGAAUUCUUUCACCGCGUUCACCGCCAUUCACCGCAUAAUAGUCUCCUACACCGCAUGAGAUAAGCAGGUCACAACAAUCUACUAUUGUCUUUAAUUUCACAAAAAUUUCAGAUCGUCCUUGGUGGCUUAGUGGUAGUUCGUCUGGCCUGUCUCUAUUAACGUUUGGGUUCAAAUCCCGUUGAACUCAUAUUUUGUAGCGGACUCUCAAUAUUUUUCUUCCCUUUAUAUAAUCUGGCUAUUUUUUACUCUUUUUAUAGUUCUAUGUGAGAAAUCGCUUUGCAAGUAGUAUAAAAUAUUGCUAUGUUGAACCUGGUCCGAAGAGAUCCAGCUAAUCAUUCUGUGUUGAUUUCAUAUUGAAUUCUUUCACCGCGUUCACCGCCAUUCACCGCAUAAUAGUCUCCUACAACGCAUGAGAUAAGCAGGUCACAACAAUCUACUAUUGCCUUUAAUUUCACCAAAAUUUCAGAUCGUCCCUGGUGGCUUAAUGGUAG